AUUGAACGCUGGCGGUAUGCUUAACACAUGCAAGUCGAACGGUAGCAGGCCUUCGGGCGCUGACGAGUGGCGGACGGGUGAGUAACGCGUAGGAAUCUGCCUCAUAGUGGGGGACAACGUGGGGAAACUCACGCUAAUACCGCAUACGCCCUACGGGGGAAAGCGGGGGAUCUUCGGACCUCGCGCUAUGAGAUGAGCCUGCGUUAGAUUAGCUAGUUGGUAGGGUAAAGGCCUACCAAGGCGACGAUCUAUAGCUGGUCUGAGAGGACGAUCAGCCACACUGGGACUGAGACACGGCCCAGACUCCUAUGGGAGGCAGCAGUGGGGAAUAUUGGACAAUGGGCGCAAGCCUGAUCCAGCAAUACCGCGUGUGUGAAGAAGGCCUUAGGGUGUAAAGCACUUUCAAUUGGGAGGAAAACCU
RNAcentral lists this ribosomal RNA (421 nucleotides) under uncultured bacterium. Its description in RNAcentral is "bacterial SSU rRNA". It matches the Rfam family "Bacterial small subunit ribosomal RNA", at positions 30 to 454 of the family's 1533-position model. The record is from RNAcentral.